RNAcentral lists this ribosomal RNA (119 nucleotides) under Mus spicilegus (steppe mouse). The record is from RNAcentral. Lineage: Eukaryota; Metazoa; Chordata; Mammalia; Rodentia; Muridae.
GUCUAUGGUCAUGCCAUCCUGAAUUUCACACUUGACUUCAUCUGAUUUGAGAAGCUAAGCAGGGUCAGGCUUGGUUAGUUCUUAGAUGGGAGACAUUUAGGCACUAGGCACUGCAGGGG